CGGCAACAGCUCAAAUUUGAAAUCUGGCCCCCUCGGGGUCCGAAUUGUAAUUUGGAGAAGAUGCUUUGGGUGUGGCCCCGGUCCAAGUUCCUUGGAACAGGACGUCACAGAGGGUGAGAAU
Molecule: ribosomal RNA, 121 nt
Filed under: Oidiodendron sp.
Lineage: Eukaryota; Fungi; Ascomycota; Leotiomycetes; Myxotrichaceae
Description: partial large subunit ribosomal RNA
Source: RNAcentral